Molecule: ribosomal RNA, 207 nt
Filed under: uncultured bacterium
Lineage: Bacteria
Description: partial 16S ribosomal RNA
Rfam family: Bacterial small subunit ribosomal RNA
Source: RNAcentral
AGCGUAGCCGGCAAGGCAAGUCUGAUGUGAAAACCCAGGGCUUAACCCUGGGACUGCAUUGGAAACUGUCUGGCUCGAGUGCCGGAGAGGUAAGUGGAAUUCCUAGUGUAGCGGUGAAAUGCGUAGAUAUUAGGAAGAACACCAGUGGCGAAGGCGGCUUACUGGACGGUAACUGACGUUGAGGCUCGAAAGCGUGGGGAGCAAACA